GAGAAGAAGGUUGGCUUCUGGACAUUUCCGAUCUACACUCUCUCUCUCUCUGUCUACAGCACUAUCAGGAUCUGAAGUUUGCUAUGAGGUUUCUUAUACUGCUCAUUCUUCUGGAGAUCAAACAAUUCCAUAAGCCAUGACCGACGAUGGCGAGCCGCAAUCCUCGACGUCGUCCGCCUCUUCUUCACCAAUUUACAUCCACCCAAGACGUGAGCCCUUCGAGCACGGCCUUCCCCCCUUUCCCAAGCUCAUCACGGCACCGAAACACUGGGCCCCAUUUAGGACAAGCUCUCCUACCUCGCUUCCAACUCUAACCGUUAGAUCCAAUCGCAUCACAUUUUUGAUUUCCUCCAGAUAUCACCUCAGCUUCAUAGACCAAUGUGAAAAUGGUUGGGAAGCCAAAGACAUGUUAGAGGGCGUAUGAAGAUAUAUGAUCUGUUUAAAAAGGACAAUGAAGACUAAGGUUAGAAAGGUACUAAAAUUUGAGGUUUUAAAGCUUGUAAAUCAAUGUGAAAAUGGUUUGGAAGCUAGAGACAUGAUACAGGGUGUAUGAAGAUAUAUGAUCUGUUUAAAAAGGGAUAUGAAGACAUAGCAUAGAAAGGAUUUAUGUGAAGGUUGAAGAGUGGGAAAUUCAAAUUAGCAUUGAAGGAUGUAGAGUUCCAAAGCAACUCAACCAUGGAAGAACAAUAAUUGUGUUGCACCGAAAUAUGAAACGACAAAAGUAUAAAGGCAUAAGAUUUUUGAAUUGCUGUUCGCAAUAUAUAGAAGGAUAGUUUAGGUUUAUUGUUUAAUUAAUUAAUAAUUAAUUUUAAUCUCAAUUCUCUUUUUCCGAUGUAAUUAUUAUUGUUCUGAAAAGAGCCUUUAUUAGGAACAACUUUUAACCUAUAUGGGAAACCUAA
Molecule: long non-coding RNA, 899 nt
Organism: Ipomoea nil (Japanese morning glory)
Lineage: Eukaryota; Viridiplantae; Streptophyta; Magnoliopsida; Solanales; Convolvulaceae
Exons: 4
Source: RefSeq, a predicted model, not a curated record